GGGACCCAUUAUUAAUAGUGUCAUGGGUUUCUGGGAUUACUGUGUCUCAGAGGUUUAUUGUAUGUUCAUUUGCUCUGUUUACUAGCAAAAUGUUUCUCAUCCAGAUUCUCAUCUUCUAGGGCUGUAAAUGCAGCUUAGGAUCUGAAAGUCAGGAUGAGCUCUUCCAGGGUCAUCCAUCAAGAAUAAUAAAGUGUCUCCUGGAGGUUACACAUGGAUAAUGCAGAAGAGAGAAAAAGCUCCAGUUCUUGAGUUCUGUUAGUACACUGGGACUGAGGGCAGGAAAAUGCAGCUGACAGGGAUUAAUGGAAGCUCCAGCACACUCUCAUAUGACAGAGGAGACAUGGGAUUACAGCAGUUUCUUCUUCAAGACAUGAAAAUUACACUCUCUAAGCCACUAGAAUAAAGUAACUUGUGAUGAACAUUGACUUUAAUGGCUACUGGGGAUGUCUCACCCCACUACUAAAAUCCAGCCACUUGCUUGUCAGAUGAGAACACAUCUGCCACCCAGCCAUCUGCAGUCACAGUGAAAAGAAGCUCGGAGAUGGCUGUGUCAGGGUCACAAUGCAACAGAAAUGGAAACUGACAUUCAACAGAAGCAACUUCCCUAGCCUGAAAAUUAUUUUUACAUCAAGUUUUAAAAUAAAAUAAAAUAUAGACAUUUUAAAAGGACUGAC
RNAcentral lists this long non-coding RNA (674 nucleotides) under Cyanistes caeruleus (blue tit). RNAcentral's name for it is "lncRNA (ENSCCEG00000001870.1)". Lineage: Eukaryota; Metazoa; Chordata; Aves; Passeriformes; Paridae. The record is from RNAcentral.